RNAcentral lists this long non-coding RNA (2138 nucleotides) under Triticum aestivum (bread wheat). RNAcentral's name for it is "long non-coding RNA (TAES_LNC028520)". Lineage: Eukaryota; Viridiplantae; Streptophyta; Magnoliopsida; Poales; Poaceae. The record is from RNAcentral.
CUAAAUAAAGCUACUUUUGAGAACACUAAAGUUAUUUUGAGCUCCUCAAUUGAUCUCUCCAAUAGCUUGACUUCUUCAUCCUUCUCCUUUCAUCUGCUAUUUGUAAGAGUACAAAAGAAGGGUUCUAAAAGAAGAAAAACGGAAGCAUUAUUAAGAGCAGAAAACAUUAAUCCAAUAGCAUGAACACCUGGCUGGCGUCCGUAGCAAUUACUUCCCUUUGUUUUGCCACUGGCAAAGCAUCUCCAGCUUUUCUCUCAGAGAGGCACCUGGGAGUCACAUUAUUGCUUCUCUUCUGAGAGCUUGGAGAAGUUAUUCUGCAAAUUUUGAAGCAAAUCGUUCCUUUCAUCGUCAAGUAAAUUUCUCAGCUCAAUCAACACUUCCUCCAAUAUUGGAGUGGCAUUUCUAUUAUGGGCUAACUCGUAUUUCACAGAGCAAUCAAUCCGUUCAAUAUGGCUGAGCUGAGGUCGCAAAUCAGUGUUCACUAUAGAAACUGCAUUUGGUUUGCAAACUACACUUGCUGGCUGCUCCUCCAACACCAAAAUCUUUUUUUACUCUUCAUAAUUUAAGAAUGUGCAUGAUUAAUCAAUUUAAACUCACUGGAUUGGAUGGAUGGAGUGUCUAAAUAGUAGGAUUAAACAAUUGGUCCUUUACUGACUGAUUAAUUAGUGACCUAAACAUUUUUCUGAAUCUUUGCUUUAAUGGAUGUGCAUGAUUAAUCAGUUAACACUACAGUGGGGGAGGACAUCCUGAUGGAGCGGCGCAACCUACUUGACCAGCAAGCCCCACGCCUUCAAAUUAUUUUAGGAGAUCUAACAACAUUAAAUAAGAAGCAUCAUCUCAUUAAAGUCCUCUUUAUUUAUUUUAUCGGAGGCUCGGAAGAACUUAGUCUCUUCAAAAUAAGAAGCAUCAUCCAUGGUCGAUUUCUGGACCAAAAUAACUACAUGCAUAAACGGACUCUCAUGCCAAGUUGCAAACAGAUCAGGGAAAACACCCACAAACUUGAAUAAAACGUUGUGAUUUUUCAGCAAAAGUAAUGUUAUGUGAUCGAAAUGAAACAACUGUUGUUCAGAUAUAUCAGUUUCGAUUGAAUCUACUAUGGCAUUGACAGAAGCAGUAGACAUCCAGCCAUAAACAUAUCACUGGCCAUAGGUUUUAUUUUUAUUUUUUGGCAUGCACUGGCUAUAGGUAGAUAACAUAAGAGCUAGGAUCCAACAGUUAGGCAGAACAAGUAAGACACCAAGUCGCAUAAUCAAAAUAUGCCCAUUUGCACACAUGUAAAUAGUUUGAACGUACUGAAACACAAAGAAAGUAGAUAGUAGAUUAUAUUGUCCUAAGUUGAUCUUGCUUGAUAGCAUUAUCUAGAGAAUAUCAAAAGGAAAAACAUAACUAACCUUGACCUGUUUGUAGCGAUCCAGAUUUUACACACUCUGGUCGUUUCAUCUGAAAUCACAUGAAAAAGUGUUGCUUUUCUUUGGCCGCUGAAAGGGAAAGUACCAAUCUCCACUUCGAUCCUCCCUCUGUAAUAUUAUAAGAAAAGCAGUCAACAGAGCAUCGCCCUCCCACCAUGCCUGUUCUGAUAGACACACAAAAGAAUACACAAAGCAUCUUCCAUCAGUUUUUAUAACUUGCUAGAAAUACAUGCAAACAUCAUCCAACAAAUGAACGGCUUGUGCAAUUUGUUUGCAAGCAAAUAGAACGAAUUAUUGCAAACCUGAACAUAAUUCUAUUGUCUAUGCAUCUUUUCUCUCAGCUCUACAAAAAAAUUCGUCUAGCAAUUUCUAAAAAGAAUUUGAAUGAAGCUACUGUACGUUUGUAGACAGCCACACAACAAAUUGAAGGUCACGGGAGCAACAAAGCAUCAGGGAUCCUCCUGCGGUACACACGGUCCUCAACGAUAGAGUUGCCUGGUUAGUGGGCUGCCGACAGAGCAUCGACCAGAGCGUGAAUAAUCAACGGAGUUUGUAAUCGUAGCCCUACACACGAAAUUCCAUGAGCAUGGAUAAACUGAUCUUGUGAUUUGGUAGAAGCAGCAAAUUAUAGUACCGGCUGAAUGAACAGCUUGUGCCAUUUAUAGAUAAACUGAAACCCUCACGUAGUCAGCCAGUACUAUAAUAUGGUAGUAGCAACAGGCAGCUCAC